Molecule: long non-coding RNA, 1957 nt
Filed under: Rhinopithecus bieti (black snub-nosed monkey)
Lineage: Eukaryota; Metazoa; Chordata; Mammalia; Primates; Cercopithecidae
Description: lncRNA (ENSRBIG00000045827.1)
Source: RNAcentral
CCACAAAUGAGCAGCCUCUAGAGUCAAGUGAACUUUUGUACUAUUUUCCCAUUACAGAUACAAAAUUCAAGCAGCAUCUUUCACCACCAGGAGGGAGUCAUUGCAUCUGAGGGUUCAAGUUCUCAAUGCCAAUUUCUCAGCAGUGGUAGGUCAGGUCUUUGAAGCUCUAUCCUAAAAUUGCAGAGCUCUAAAUAACCCAGAUGAAACCUAUUGGGAUGAAUUCACAACUGUCUGCAAGAGAAAGCUCCUGCUGACGUCAACAGGAGUUUAUCCUGAGGGCCUAAGAAUUAGAAAGAGCUGCCAGUGCCUUCCCUGUGAGCAGUGAAGCAAAGAAAAGCAAUGAGUUCUGCGGUACAUGGAACAAAUAAAAAUUGUAAAGACAAAAUGCAAAGAAAAGGUAUGAUGAGGAAAAGAAAAGUCCAAAAAAAAAAACUCCUGUCGCACAAAGUGCAUGAAGAAAAUCAAUAUAAAGAACAACAACCAAGAAACCAGCAACUGGAAAGCUUCACUACAGUUUGAACAACAGGAAUGCUGAAUCCAGACUGUUUAGUUUUGUAUUUCAGAUCUGCUAUUUACAUGUGCCUUUAAGAAAAUUAAUAACAUGGGAACUAAGUACCAGAUUCCAAAAAGGAGGUAAAUCUCUAUGUGUUAACAUGAAAAUAUUUCAAACACAUACCUCUACUCUAGAAUCAGGUUGCAGGUAUAUGUGUUACGAUUAAUAAAAGCAGUGUAUAUACAUUGUUUAAAUAUAUACAUACAUUUUGUAUGUACAUAUAUGUGCGCAAUUAUACAUCUGUGUUAAUACAUCUGUGUGUGUGUAAACACAUACAUUACUCAAAGAUCAUUUUCUUUAAAUGUCUCAAUUAUUUUCUUCAUCCCACUCCUCCAAAGAAGUCAUAAAUCCUCAGGUUGGUAUCUAUUCUACUACAGCUUACUCCAUUCAUGCACAAUAAUCUAUCAUAGAUGUGAAUAUACCUUUUUUAUUUUUUUAAUAAAAUUGAAUCAUACUAUAUAAAUUUCACAAAAGAAAGUGCUGUCACUUAAAAUAAACCAAGGUUUUAUUAAAGUACAGUAUAUAUGCAAAUGUGUUAAAAUCUUAAUAUUUGGCAUUUCUUUUUACAGAAGAAUACAUCUGACCAAAUGAAGAUGUAUAAUAUUGCUAGUCCAACGGCUUGCUCAAAGCAUGUAAAGCUGGUUAGAAGCACGGCAAAAAAUUAAAAUGAGCUUUCAAAUAUCAACUUUAUUCUCUUCGAUUGACUGGUAGCUUACCUAAAGAACAGUUGAUAACAAUUGGGGAUCAGGAUGGCCAUGCCUAUUUGCAAACCAAGGCAUCACUUUAUCAAAACCUUUCCUUCAUUGUUUGAACAUAGUAAAAAUAUCUGCUUGUCAAUACCUCUAUGUGAUGAUUUCAAUAUGUUUGCUUCCUUCAUUAUGAUUAAGCAGAGAUUAUAAAUAAUCAAAUAAAGGUUUUAUAAAGUUUGAAAUUUAGCAGAAUGAGGAGAUGCCCUUCUCAACUUUAUCUCCUUUUCCCUUUGCCACAUGUAUUUAUCAGUUCAGAGAUUUGAAAUUUCAUGGUCUAUUUAACUCAGUGUUGCUGUUUGUGAUUCCGCAGUGCUCAGUAACAUCACUGUACAUUCCAGGCACAUCCACAUGACCUAGUUAAUGAAUGCCCUGGAUGUUCUGAAUAGAUUUAUGCUGAUAAUAUGCUGUGUUCAGGCCAGAGCACAGGAUGAAGCCCAAGAAGGGCUCAUUUUCUCUCUUGGGUACUGAUCUGCUAUGUACACUUGAAUAUUACAUUUAGUCUUCUAAAGUUUAACUUCCCCAUGCAAAACAAGGUUAAUAGUGGUAUAUUUGAUCGUGAAGUACUUUGGCACCUUAUAAGAAAAACAUUGUGAGUGCAGAUAUUUAUUGUUUACAAGGUCUAUGAAAUAUGUAAUGGCAACUAUUUUGCUUUUCC